GGGAGUGUGGCUCAAGUGGUAGAGUACUUGGCAAGCAAGUGUGAGUUCAAUUCCUACUACUACCA
RNAcentral lists this transfer RNA (65 nucleotides) under Dipodomys ordii (Ord's kangaroo rat). It matches the Rfam family "tRNA". Rfam says of the family: Transfer RNA (tRNA) molecules are approximately 80 nucleotides in length. Their secondary structure includes four short double-helical elements and three loops (D, anti-codon, and T loops). The record is from Rfam by way of RNAcentral. Lineage: Eukaryota; Metazoa; Chordata; Mammalia; Rodentia; Heteromyidae.